RNAcentral lists this ribosomal RNA (450 nucleotides) under uncultured Glomeromycotina. RNAcentral describes it as "SSU rRNA". It matches the Rfam family "Eukaryotic small subunit ribosomal RNA", at positions 569 to 1023 of the family's 1831-position model. Lineage: Eukaryota; Fungi; Glomeromycota. The record is from RNAcentral.
AGCAGCCGCGGUAAUUCCAGCUCCAAUAGCGUAUAUUAAAGUUGUUGCAGUUAAAAAGCUCGUAGUUGAAUUUCGGGGUCAGUAGGUUGGUCGUGCCAAUGGUAUGUACUGGCUUCACUGAUUCCUCCUUCUUGAAGAACUGUAAUGUCAUUAAUUUGGUGUUGCAGGGAAACAGGACUGUUACUUUGAAAAAUUAGAGUGUUUAAAGCAGGCUAACGCUUGAAUACAUUAGCAUGGAAUAAUGAAAUAGGACGUUUGACCCUAUUUUGUUGGUUUCUAGGAUCGACGUAAUGAUUAAUAGGGAUAGUUGGGGGCAUUAGUAUUCAAUUGUCAGAGGUGAAAUUCUUGGAUUUAUUGAAGACUGACUACUGCGAAAGCAUUUGCCAAGGAUGUUUUCAUUAAUACAAGAACGAAAGUUAGGGGAUCGAAGACGAUCAGAUACCGUCGUAG